GAUUGUAACGCGUGGAUAACCUGCCUAUCUGACCGGGACGACACCUGGAAACGGGUGCUAAUACCGGAUACGCUCAUCUAGUCAAAAGAAUAGAUGAGGAAAAGGGGAAACCCGCAGACAGAUGGGUCCGCGUCCCAUUAGCUAGUUGGAGGUGUAAGAGACCCCCAAGGCGACGAUGGGUAGCCGGCCUGAGAGGGUGACCGGCCACACUGGAACUGAGACACGGUCCAGACUCCUACGGGAGGCAGCAGUGGGGAAUCUUCCGCAAUGGGCGCAAGCCUGACGGAGCAACGCCGCGUGAGUGAAGAAGGCCUUCGGGUUGUAAAACUCUGUCAUCAGGGAAGAAGAAAGUGACGGUACCUGAGGAGGAAGCCCCGGCUAACUACGUGCCAGCAGCCGCGGUAAAACGUAGGGGGCGAGCGUUGUCCGGAAUUACUGGGCGUAAAGGGCGCGUAGGCGGUUAUCCAAGUCAGGGGUGAAAACCUUGGGCUCAACUCAGGGCCUGCCUCUGAAACUGGGUAACUUGAGGGCAGGAGAGGGGAGUGGAAUUCCCAGUGUAGCGGUGAAAUGCGUAGAUAUUGGGAGGAACACCAGUGGCGAAGGCGGCUCUCUGGCCUAACCCUGACGCUGAGGCGCGAAAGCGUGGGGAUCAAACAGGAUUAGAUACCCUGGUAGUCCACGCCGUAAACGAUGGGUGCUAGGUGUAGGAGGUAUCGACCCCUUCUGUGCCGUAGUUAACACAAUAAGCACCCCGCCUGGGGAGUACGGCCGCAAGGUUGAAACUCAAAGGAAUUGACGGGGGCCCGCACAAGCGGUGGAGCAUGUGGUUUAAUCCGACGCAACGCGAAGAACCUUACCAGGGUUUGACAUCCUCUGA
RNAcentral lists this ribosomal RNA (877 nucleotides) under uncultured Peptococcaceae bacterium. RNAcentral's name for it is "bacterial SSU rRNA". It matches the Rfam family "Bacterial small subunit ribosomal RNA", at positions 108 to 994 of the family's 1533-position model. Lineage: Bacteria; Bacillati; Bacillota; Clostridia; Eubacteriales; Peptococcaceae. The record is from RNAcentral.